UGGUAAGUGAUAUUUAUUAAGGUAACUAAUGUAAGAUGUUGGAAUUUCAGGAGUUCAAAAUAUGCUGUAUUUUUUUGUGUGUGUGUGUGUGUGUGUGUGUGUGUGUGUGUGUGUGUGUGUGUGUGUGUUGGGGCGGCUGGCAAUAUGGAUCUGAUUUAAUUUGUUAACAUCAGUGCUGAUAUUGAAGUGCAUCUGAAGGCAAUCUCAUUUCAUAUAAGGGGCCUAAGUGUGAUUUUGCUGAUGAUUAGAGCCUCAAACAGUCCAUUUUGCCAGCUUGGAUAUGCCAGAAUUCUCCAACAGGGUGGCACUUCAGUGACCCUGUCAGCUGAUCCAA
This is a non-coding RNA of Rhincodon typus (whale shark), 334 nucleotides long. RefSeq annotates it as small Cajal body-specific RNA 7. The transcript has a single exon. Lineage: Eukaryota; Metazoa; Chordata; Chondrichthyes; Orectolobiformes; Rhincodontidae. The record is from RefSeq and is a predicted model, not a curated record.